AAAAAUGUAGCAUAACUAUAAUGCAUUUCACUUACACUGAAAAAAUACUUGCUAAAAGUCGUUUUUA
This 67-nucleotide transfer RNA is filed under the name Alviniconcha marisindica. RNAcentral's name for it is "tRNA-Val". It matches the Rfam family "tRNA". Rfam says of the family: Transfer RNA (tRNA) molecules are approximately 80 nucleotides in length. The record is from RNAcentral. Lineage: Eukaryota; Metazoa; Mollusca; Gastropoda; Provannidae.